UCAAGGGAACAUUUUGACCAACUCUAAAAAUAUCUUUCUAUAUGGCUUGCUUCUUAGAAAGAAAGUCACUUCUAUCUUGCUAUGUCUGGACUUUAUUGUUUAUGGCAUACUAUACAGAUGGAGCAAUGCAAGACUGAGUUGGACACUCUCCCAUUGGACCACUGCAUGGACUCCUUAGCCUUUUGGAAACCUUAUGUCUGUACAAUUUUAUCUCCUCUCAGGCAGGUCUGAAAUGCGCACACCCACACUGUUGAGCUUUGUGUAAAUUAAAUGCUUUCUGGCAACACAAGGAACAUUUCAUGCUUUGUACAUUUCCAGACCUGCAGCAAAACGGUAGGUGUUGAAUAAAAGCCAAGUCAGAGCCUUUUUUGUAAGUGUUGGAUACCCUUGUGACCUACCACUCAGAAGCGAUACCAUUGAGCUCAGUGCCAAACCCCUACAACUUUCAGAUAGACAUGAUUUUUAUUUCCUUUGGUCUCUGCUAAACUGACAUGCAUUCCACCCGGCUGACGGAGGCCUCUCCAAUUGGGAAUUUCUUUUAAAGCCAGGAAAAAUCAAUCCAAAUUAAGGGUACCACUGAACACCCUGUACUCUCAGGAGCAAGGAAUGUGACUAUCCCUGGCUCGUGCAUGGGGUGUACAAGAAGAAGAUCACCCAUUUGAAUCCAGACCAGCUCACUUGGGAUUAAAAUGUGUUGUCUUCGAAUGGUGGUCCCUAUAUGAGAUGUGUUUAUUAUAUCAUAAACCUUACCAGCACACUUUUCACUGAUUGGCAAACUCAGUAGAAAGGCAACGAAUUGCAUGGCCAUGGAUACUGAACUACCCUUGCCACCUCUAGGUAACCUAAGAAUGAGAUGGACCAUCUCUAGGUGAUCAAAUGAGUUCAUUUACUCCCGGGCAGUGGCAAAUUAUGGAAAACGUCCCUCUGGCAAGCAUUUGAUGAACAUUUCUGAAACAUUAAGCAAAAAGGGCCUGCACUCAUUCAAGUCAAUGAAAAAGCUCCCAUUGAUGGGCAAGAUGCAGGAUCAAGCAAUGAAUGUCCAGCCUGGCUGACACUGAAGUCCAUGAAAAAAACUCUCUGUAACUUCAGACCCUACAUUUCUGAUUGUACAGGAAAAGCCAUCUGAGCUAAAGCAACAACUUUUAGCGCCUACUACCUUAUGUCUUGCCCUUCUGCUCCUGCUUGACUGCUGCACUGAUGUCUUCAUGAUGCCUGACAGAAACCAGAACAUGCCAAGCAUCCCACCCUACCGUGCAGACUGGUAGGACACUAUCCUGCAGACAGCAGAGUGGAUUGCUUGCUAUCCAAAUGUGUCUCUGUAUACCGCCCAAAAUAAAGAACUCUUUGAAAUAAGAGAUAGGAAUCUGUAGAAUCUCUGAUUUGUAACAAAACCUUUGGUGUGGGGAUUGGAAGGGGUUGAUACAGAGAUGGAACAUUCUGUGACUAGCUCCAUCUUUGUCAUUUUUCCAGGAUUUUGG
Long non-coding RNA from Chrysemys picta bellii (western painted turtle), 1478 nucleotides. RefSeq lists it as uncharacterized. NCBI's taxonomy places the organism in Eukaryota, Metazoa, Chordata, Testudines, Emydidae. The record is from RefSeq and is a predicted model, not a curated record.